Molecule: ribosomal RNA, 253 nt
Filed under: uncultured bacterium
Lineage: Bacteria
Description: partial 16S ribosomal RNA
Rfam family: Bacterial small subunit ribosomal RNA
Source: RNAcentral
UACGAAGGGGGCUAGCGUUGCUCGGAAUCACUGGGCGUAAAGCGCACGUAGGUGGCUUGUUAAGUCAGGGGUGAAAUCCUGGAGCUCAACUCCAGAACUGCCUUUGAUACUGGCGAGCUUGAGUUCGGGAGAGGUGGGUGGAACUGCGAGUGUAGAGGUGAAAUUCGUAGAUAUUCGCAAGAACACCAGUGGCGAAGGCGGCUCACUGGCCCGAUACUGACACUGAGGUGCGAAAGCGUGGGGAGCAAACAGG